AUACGUAGGUGGCGAGCGUUGUCCGGAAUUAUUGGGCGUAAAGAGUGAGCAGGCGGCAGUCAAAGUCUGGAGUUAAAACGUGUGGCUCAACCAUACGUUGCUUUGGAAACUAGACAGCUAGAGUGCAGGAGAGGUUAGCGGAAUUCCAUGUGUAGCGGUAAAAUGCGUAGAUAUAUGGAGGAACACCAGCGGCGAAGGCGGCUAACUGGCCUGUAACUGACGCUCAGUCACGAAAGCGUGGGGAGCAAAUAGGAUUAGAUACCCUAGUAGUCCACGCCGUAAACGAUGAGUACUAAGUGUUGGGAAACCAGUGCUGAAGUUAACGCAUUAAGUACUCCGCCUGAGAAGUACGUUCGCAAGAAUGAA
Molecule: ribosomal RNA, 366 nt
Filed under: uncultured bacterium
Lineage: Bacteria
Description: bacterial SSU rRNA
Rfam family: Bacterial small subunit ribosomal RNA
Source: RNAcentral